CUCUUAUUUUUCAAUUGUUUGUUUUCUUAAAUCUUUCCUUUUACCUUUUAACUGUACUGGUAUACAGGAAUUGUAAAGAAAGGUUACUCGGAAAAUAAAAUAAUAACGAAGCAGAGUUUGUGAGUAAAGAAAAAACAUAAAUAGCAAAUAAUUUUGCAAUAUGUUGAAACAAUAUCAAGAACCAUAACAUGAGAAUAUCAAAUAUUUUAGUGUAUUACUAUAUGCAACUUUUAAGCAAGAAAACAAAAUGCCAAGCGGAAAAAAACAGUAAGCACUAUUACCUGGGGGAUUGACAAUGGGAGAGAAAGCUAUAAG
RNAcentral lists this long non-coding RNA (315 nucleotides) under Nicotiana benthamiana. Its description in RNAcentral is "long non-coding RNA (NBEN_LNC001827)". The record is from RNAcentral. Lineage: Eukaryota; Viridiplantae; Streptophyta; Magnoliopsida; Solanales; Solanaceae.